GCAUCCUUCGAAGGCUGCAUUCGAAGGAUGCGUCGACGCCGAUUGCGUCACAGCGUCGCGCCAAGUGCUGUCCCAAUUCCAAGGGUCCUUCAUAUGCGGCCUACGAAUGCAGCCUUCUUUUCCCGGAUUUGAAGGAUGCAUCGGCUGUAUCCUUCGCGGCCCAACGUAUCCCAAGAUCCUUCACGGCCCAACGUAUCCCUCCCAAGAUUCAUUGCGCAUUCAAUCCAAAAAAUAAAACAACAAUGGCGGAGAAUGUGGAUUUGACUUUUUCAUUUAAAUGGAGCAAGGAGCAUACUGCUCAAUUUAUCAAACUCAGGGGGGAGAACGACGAGCUCUUCACCGGGGUGAAACAUUCGGCGAGUGUGGCUUGGGGGACAAUUCUGGAGAAAAUAGGCCUGCAGGGGAAUGUGACUCCCCUGCAGGCAAAGAAAAAAUGGGAUAAUUUAAAAAAAAUAUAUAAAGUAUGUACAGGUUAUUUUAUACAUUAUUUGUUUUAACCAUGCAAGUUAAUAAACACUUUUGCUGAAAUUUGUUUCGAUACUGCUGUUGUUGUUAACUGCCAUGAUUGAUUUCCUCUGCCUUAGGAUUGCAAGUAUCCAGGGUCAGGAGAGGGUGUAGGUGGGAAACCCACUGCUGCCACUUGGCCCUGGUUUGUCCUCAUGGAUGAGGUAUUGGGACAGAGGCAUUCCAUCAACCCCCCUGUCCUAAUUGCCUCCAUCCCUGAGGACACACCAGGGCCAAGUACGGCAGUGGUGGAUUUGGAGGUGGAGGAGAAGGAUGAGGAGGAGAGCAGGUCCAGGAGGAGGUCCAGAAAGAGGGACAGAGAGGACGAAAUGUUCGAAUUGAUUAAAGAGGACAUGAGGCUGAACAGGGAGGGAGAGGAGAGAAGAGCCCAGGAGAGCAGGGAGAGAAUGGACCGUUUUUUUUCAAUUUUGGAGCGUAUUGCUGACAAAUAAUUUCAGUUCUGUUAA
Gadus chalcogrammus (walleye pollock) is the source of this 971-nucleotide long non-coding RNA. RefSeq lists it as uncharacterized. The record is from RefSeq and is a predicted model, not a curated record. NCBI's taxonomy places the organism in Eukaryota, Metazoa, Chordata, Actinopteri, Gadiformes, Gadidae. The transcript is spliced from 3 exons.